Molecule: ribosomal RNA, 253 nt
Filed under: uncultured bacterium
Lineage: Bacteria
Also listed under: 1 other name
Description: partial 16S ribosomal RNA
Rfam family: Bacterial small subunit ribosomal RNA
Source: RNAcentral
UACGGAGGGUGCAAACGUUGCUCGGAAUCAUUGGGCGUAAAGCGCACGUAGGCGGUCCUUUAAGUCGGGUGUGAAAGCCCUCGGCUCAACCGAGGAAGUGCAUUCGAAACUGGGGGACUUGAAUACUGGAGAGGAUGGCGGAAUUCCCGGUGUAGAGGUGAAAUUCGUAGAUAUCGGGAGGAACACCAGCGGCGAAGGCGGCCAUCUGGACAGAUAUUGACGCUGAGGUGCGAAAGCGUGGGGAGCAAACAGG